This 240-nucleotide ribosomal RNA is filed under the name uncultured bacterium. RNAcentral describes it as "partial 16S ribosomal RNA". It matches the Rfam family "Bacterial small subunit ribosomal RNA", at positions 96 to 334 of the family's 1533-position model. The record is from RNAcentral.
CGGCGCACGGGUGAGUAACACGUGGAUAACGUGCCCCAAGGUGGGGGAUAACCAUUCGAAAGGAUGGCUAAUACCGCGAAAGCCAACUUGAACCUCGGUUCUGGUUGGACAAGGCUUCGGCCACCUUGGGAUCGGUCCGCGGCCCAUUAGCUAGUUGGUGAGGUAACGGCUCACCAAGGCGACGAUGGGUAGCUGGUCUGAGAGGACGAUCAGCCACACUGGCACUGAGACACGGGCCAG